AGGUCGUGUCUUGUGCAACUUGUGGUUUUUUCAUUAGUCAAAUUGCACUUGUCCCGGCCUGC
This 62-nucleotide microRNA precursor is filed under the name Tribolium castaneum (red flour beetle). Its description in RNAcentral is "Tca-Mir-92-P4_pre stem-loop". Lineage: Eukaryota; Metazoa; Arthropoda; Insecta; Coleoptera; Tenebrionidae. The record is from RNAcentral.